GACGGGAGCUUGCUCCUUGGAKUCAGCGGCGGACGGGUGAGUAAAGSCUAGGAAUCUGCCUGGUAGUGGGGGACAACGUUUUGAAAGGAACGCUAAUACCGCAUACGUCCUACGGGAGAAAGCAGGGGACCUUCGGGCCUUGCGCUAUCAGAUGAGCCUASGUCGGAUUAGCUUGUUGGUGAGGUAAUGGSUCACCAAGGCGACGAUCCGUAACUGGUCUGAGAGGAUGAUCAGUCACACUGGAACUGAGACACGGUCCAGACUCCUACSGGAGGCAGCAGUGGGGAAUAUUGGACAAUGGGCGAAAGCCUGAUCCAGCCAUGCCRCGWGUGKGAAGAAGGUCUUCGGAUUGUAAAGCACUUUAAGUUGGGAGGAAGGGCAGWAAGCUAAUACCUUGCUGUUUUGACGUUACCAACAKAAUAAGGACCGGAUAACUCUGUGCCAAMAUCCGCGGWAAUACAGGGGGGGCCAGCGUUAAUCGGAAUUACUGGGYAAAAAGCCCGGGUAAGUGGUUUGGUAAGGUGCCUGGSAAAUCCCCGGG
RNAcentral lists this ribosomal RNA (541 nucleotides) under Pseudomonas sp. Its description in RNAcentral is "partial 16S ribosomal RNA". Lineage: Bacteria; Pseudomonadati; Pseudomonadota; Gammaproteobacteria; Pseudomonadales; Pseudomonadaceae. The record is from RNAcentral.